UACAGAGGUCCCAAGCGUUGUUCGGAUUCACUGGGCGUAAAGGGUGCGUAGGUGGUCGGGUAAGUCUGAUGUGAAAUCUUCGAGCUCAACUCGAAAAUGGCAUUGGAUACUAUUCGGCUGGAGGGUUGGAAGGGGGACUGGAAUUCUCGGUGUAGCAGUGAAAUGCGUAGAUAUCGAGAGGAACACCGGUGGCGAAGGCGACUACCUGGCCUGUUCUUGACGCUGAGGCGCGAAAGCUAGGGGAGCAAACGGG
This 253-nucleotide ribosomal RNA is filed under the name uncultured bacterium. Its description in RNAcentral is "partial 16S ribosomal RNA". It matches the Rfam family "Bacterial small subunit ribosomal RNA", at positions 524 to 776 of the family's 1533-position model. The record is from RNAcentral.